This 21-nucleotide microRNA is filed under the name Dasypus novemcinctus (nine-banded armadillo). Its description in RNAcentral is "dno-miR-185-3p". Its record names the gene dno-miR-185-3p. The record is from miRBase by way of RNAcentral. RNAcentral also lists the same sequence under 14 other names. Lineage: Eukaryota; Metazoa; Chordata; Mammalia; Cingulata; Dasypodidae.
AGGGGCUGGCUUUCCUCUGGU